CCUACGGGAGGCAGCAGUGAGGAAUAUUGGUCAAUGGUCGCAAGCCUGAACCAGCCAAGUAGCGUGAAGGAUGACUGCCCUACGGGUUGUAAACUUCUUUUAUACAGGGAUAAAGUGCGGCACGUGUGCCUUUUUGUAUGUACUUUAUGAAUAAGGAUCGGCUAACUCCGUGCCAGCAGCCGCGGUAAUACGGAGGAUCCGAGCGUUAUCCGGAUUUAUUGGGUUUAAAGGGAGCGUAGGCGGGUUGUUAAGUCAGUUGUGAAAGUUUGUGGCUCAACCGUAAAAUUGCAAUUGAAACUGGCAGGCUUGAGUACAGGUGAGGUAGGCGGAAUUCGUGGUGUAGCGGUGAAAUGCUUAGAUAUCACGAAGAACUCCGAUUGCGAAGGCAGCAUACUAAACUGCUACUGACACUGAUGCUCGAAAGUGGGGGUAUCAAACAGGAUUAGAUACCCUAGUAGUC
Molecule: ribosomal RNA, 460 nt
Filed under: uncultured bacterium
Lineage: Bacteria
Description: partial 16S ribosomal RNA
Rfam family: Bacterial small subunit ribosomal RNA
Source: RNAcentral